Aedes aegypti (yellow fever mosquito) is the source of this 46-nucleotide non-coding RNA. The record is from Rfam. Lineage: Eukaryota; Metazoa; Arthropoda; Insecta; Diptera; Culicidae.
AAAACGGCCCUUUUCAGGGCCACCAAAACAUUCUACAUUGAAGAGU